UUAAUACUGAAAUGAGUUAAGACUGUGGAAUUGUUGAGAAGCCAUGAGAAGACAUGCCUUGCUUCUCUUUUGUCCUCUGUCAUGAUUGUAGUUGUACUGAGACCCCCAAGUCAUACUUCUUGUUAAGCCUGCAGAAGUGUGAGUCAAUUAAACCUAUUUUCUUCAUAAA
Non-coding RNA from Macaca mulatta (Rhesus monkey), 169 nucleotides. The record is from RefSeq and is a predicted model, not a curated record. Lineage: Eukaryota; Metazoa; Chordata; Mammalia; Primates; Cercopithecidae.